This is a long non-coding RNA of Magnolia sinica, 1406 nucleotides long. RefSeq lists it as uncharacterized. The record is from RefSeq and is a predicted model, not a curated record. Lineage: Eukaryota; Viridiplantae; Streptophyta; Magnoliopsida; Magnoliales; Magnoliaceae. The transcript is spliced from 6 exons.
UAUGAAUAUAAUUUUUUUUCUCAAACUAAAUGGAGCUUAAGCCCUUUUUUAACUCCGCCAAUGCAACUUCUUGCAUUGCCGGUCCCAAGCCCAGGUAAAGGAGGAGGGAGAAGGGCGUCAAGGUGAGUUGUGUCCUCUUAUUCAUGACAAAUAUGUCCCUUUGAAAUAUGCAUGUUUUAGGAUGAGUUGUUGUGUCCUUUUCUCCACUAGAAUGCAGGACCAUUUUAUGAAUGGGUAGGAGCAAGACUAACUAGUGUCAAAAUAGCAGGAUUCGACAAUGGAACCCUUGACUUGUUAUCUAGUAGAUGGAUCUUACAAGAUAACCAUAGAGAUUGUGUACAUCCAUUUAGUUUUUAUUACUGUAAAUUCUAGGGUCCUGAUGUUUCCUUUGUGUGUGUGUGUGUUGACUGGGACGUCGAAGUUUCUGAUCGAUUCUUUCGAUGAUAGCAAUGAUUUGUACUGAUUUCUAGUGAUUUCCAGUAAUGAUCAGUCACUUUCUCUGUAGUUAAAGAGAUUUCUUAGUUUCUGGACUCUUAUUUUUCUUGUGGUUCAUCUUGUGGUUUUAUUAGCUUAGGCCUGACUUAUGUUUAUAGUGUAAGUUCAAGCAUACAUUCAGCUGAACUGCAGUAGAUGCAGCCCCAAAACUGCAGCCAGUGGAAUCCCCUAUUAUUUAUGAUGCCUACAAGCUUCUUGCUGUGCCUUCUCCAAUUGGUGUCAGUAUCUCGUGCUCUUGGCCUGAACAAUUUUUUUGUUCCUAGUGAAAGCAGUUGCAACACAAUUAUAUUUUGGCGAAUUAUCAUGUUGGGAGGGAUGGUGCUGUGUAGUUUGGAUUUGUUGGGAGUCCAGAAACAUGCACAUCAGUGAUUUUACGCAUCUUAUAUUAUUCUUUUAUUGUAUGCAGACUUAAAGGAGUGUUGAUAUGUUGCUCCAUGGUAAAAAGCUCAUGGUUGAGAUGAUGCCUUACCCUGCUGUAACUGGAACAAGAUGAGAGCUGACUGCAAAUAGUUGGUUCUCAUGGAUGUUAAUGUAGAUGGCUGGUCAUAUCGCAUGACACGACUUCUAGAUGAGCAAAUCUAGGGAUUUUGACAUAUGUUAUCAGCCUUCUAUUUGCUUUAGUUUCAAAAAACCAUAAAGAAAUUGGAUGUUCCACAAGAAUCACCUACUACGAGAUCCCAUCACCAUGGCUUCAGGGUUGUCUAGAGACUUGAACUUUCAAAGUCUAAAGCUUCAGUUUUGACAUCGGUUAGCUGCAGUGCCUAAACCCACUAGACAUUUCAAUUGUUAAUCUAGAAUUCCAUUUAUGAUAAGGGCAUCACAACCAUUGGCAAUUCAUUCUUUUUCUUGGGUAGUCGUUUGGGAGACGGUCUUCUUGUGCAAUAUAGUUGUGGAACUACAACAAUGCCUUC